This 72-nucleotide transfer RNA is filed under the name Dallia pectoralis (Alaska blackfish). RNAcentral describes it as "tRNA-Thr". The record is from RNAcentral. Lineage: Eukaryota; Metazoa; Chordata; Actinopteri; Esociformes; Umbridae.
AUAUUGGUAACUCAGUGGUAGAGUGCAUGCGUUGUGUGUAUGACGUCCUCGGUUCAAAUCCCAGCUGCUCCC